RNAcentral lists this ribosomal RNA (497 nucleotides) under uncultured bacterium. RNAcentral describes it as "partial 16S ribosomal RNA". It matches the Rfam family "Bacterial small subunit ribosomal RNA", at positions 29 to 507 of the family's 1533-position model. The record is from RNAcentral.
AAUGAACGCUGGCGGCAUGCCUAAUACAUGCAAGUCGAACGAAAAGACGGGGAGCUUUCGCCCCUGCCGGUGGCGGGGGACGGAUGGGUAACACGUGGAUAGCCUACCUAUUAGACUUGGAUGAUUACGGCAGACCAGAUCUACUACCCGAUAAUAUAUCGCACCGGAUGGAGCACGAGUGGAAGACGGUUUUUGUGUCAGUUAUAGCUGGAUCCGGGCCGCAUUGUCUAGUGGGUAAAGUAACGGCUUAGCAAGGCUACGAUGCGGAGCCGCCCUGAGAGGGUGAUCGGCCACACUGGAACUGAGACACGGUCCAGACUCCUAGGGGAGGCAGCAGUAGGGAAUCUUCCGCAAUGGGCGAAAGCCUGAUGGAGCAAAACCGCGUGAGUGAUGAAGGAGUUCGGAUCGUAAAGCUCUGUUGUUAGGAAAGAAGAAAAGCGUAUGUAACCAUGAUGGUCUUGACGGUACCCAAAGAAUAAGCCCCGGCUAACUCCGUG